Molecule: ribosomal RNA, 734 nt
Filed under: Salinispora pacifica
Lineage: Bacteria; Bacillati; Actinomycetota; Actinomycetes; Micromonosporales; Micromonosporaceae
Description: bacterial SSU rRNA
Rfam family: Bacterial small subunit ribosomal RNA
Source: RNAcentral
GGGUGAGUAACACGUGAGUAACCUGCCCCAGGCUUUGGGAUAACCCCGGGAAACCGGGGCUAAUACCGGAUAUGACUGGCUGCCGCAUGGUGGUUGGUGGAAAGAUUUUUCGGCUUGGGAUGGACUCGCGGCCUAUCAGCUUGUUGGUGGGGUAAUGGCCUACCAAGGCGGCGACGGGUAGCCGGCCUGAGAGGGCGACCGGCCACACUGGGACUGAGACACGGCCCAGACUCCUACGGGAGGCAGCAGUGGGGAAUCUUGCACAAUGGGCGGAAGCCUGAUGCAGCGACGCCGCGUGAGGGAUGACGGCCUUCGGGUUGUAAACCUCUUUCAGCAGGGACGAAGCGUUUGUGACGGUACCUGCAGAAGAAGCGCCGGCCAACUACGUGCCAGCAGCCGCGGUAAGACGUAGGGCGCGAGCGUUGUCCGGAUUUAUUGGGCGUAAAGAGCUCGUAGGCGGCUUGUCGCGUCGACUGUGAAAACCCGUGGCUCAACUUCGGGCUUGCAGUCGAUACGGGCAGGCUAGAGUUCGGUAGGGGAGACUGGAAUUCCUGGUGUAGCGGUGAAAUGCGCAGAUAUCAGGAGGAACACCGGUGGCGAAGGCGGGUCUCUGGGCCGAUACUGACGCUGAGGAGCGAAAGCGUGGGGAGCGAACAGGAUUAGAUACCCUGGUAGUCCACGCUGUAAACGUUGGGCGCUAGGUGUGGGGGGCCUCUCCGGUUCUCUGUGCCGCA